Molecule: ribosomal RNA, 224 nt
Filed under: uncultured bacterium
Lineage: Bacteria
Description: partial 16S ribosomal RNA
Rfam family: Bacterial small subunit ribosomal RNA
Source: RNAcentral
CUACCCUUGGAUUUGGGAUAACAUUGCGAAAGCGAUGCUAAUACCGGAUGAAGUCUAUUAUUUUUAGGAGUGAUAGAUGAAAGAUGGCCUCUACAUGUAAGCUAUUGUUUGAGGAUGAGCCCGCGUACCAUUAGCUAGUUGGUAGGGUAACAGCCUACCAAGGCAACGAUGGUUAGCUGGUCUGAGAGGAUGAUCAGCCACACCGGAACUGACACACGGUCCGG